GAUUCCCCUAGUAGCGGCGAGCGAAGCGGGNAGNGCUCNAAUUUAUAAUCUGGCNNCUUCGGUNNNCGAGUUGUAAUCUCUAGNNGUGUUUUYCGCGUUGGACCGCACACAAGUCUGUNNGNAWACAGCGGCAUAGUGGUGAAACCCCCGUAUAUGGUGCGGACGCCCAGCGCUUUGUGANACACUUUCAAUGAGUCGAGUUGUUUGGGAAYGCAGCUCAAAUUGGGUGGUAAAUUCCAUCUAANGCUAAAUAUUGGCGAGAGACCGAUAGCGAACAAGUACCGUGAGGGNAAGAUGAAAAGCACUUUGGAAAGAGAGUUAACAGUACGUGAAAUUGUUGGAAGGGAAACGCUUGAAGUCAGACNUGCUUNCCGGAGCUUGCUUCGGUUUGCAGGCCAGCAUCRGUUYUCCGGGGUGGAUAAUGACGGUUUGAAGGUAGCAGUCUCGGCUGUGUUAUAGCUUUUCCGUUGGAUACAUCCAGGGGGACUGAGGAACGCAG
This 499-nucleotide ribosomal RNA is filed under the name Rhodotorula glutinis. RNAcentral's name for it is "partial 26S ribosomal RNA". It matches the Rfam family "Eukaryotic large subunit ribosomal RNA", at positions 73 to 577 of the family's 3401-position model. The record is from RNAcentral. Lineage: Eukaryota; Fungi; Basidiomycota; Microbotryomycetes; Sporidiobolales; Sporidiobolaceae.